CCGUUCUUGUGUUAUUUGCUGGACGUUUCAAAAGUCCAGUGACUGUCAAACAGAACGCAAACCAAAACGCAACUAAUCACUCCAUAAUGGUGCGUCUAACUAGCCAGGACUACAUCAUUACUAAAUGAUUGCGACAUUA
This is a small nucleolar RNA of Drosophila biarmipes, 139 nucleotides long. RefSeq annotates it as small nucleolar RNA psi18S-1377. The transcript has a single exon. NCBI's taxonomy places the organism in Eukaryota, Metazoa, Arthropoda, Insecta, Diptera, Drosophilidae. The record is from RefSeq and is a predicted model, not a curated record.